This 251-nucleotide ribosomal RNA is filed under the name uncultured bacterium. RNAcentral describes it as "partial 16S ribosomal RNA". It matches the Rfam family "Bacterial small subunit ribosomal RNA", at positions 526 to 776 of the family's 1533-position model. The record is from RNAcentral.
CGGGGGGGGCAAGUGUUCUUCGGAAUUACUGGGCGUAAAGGGCUCGUAGGCGGCCAACUAAGUCAGACGUGAAAUCCCUAGGCUCAACCUAGGAACUGCGUCUGAUACUGGAUGGCUUGAAUCCGGGAGAGGGAUGCAGAAUUCCAGGUGUAGCGGUGAAAUGCGUAGAUAUCUGGAGGAAUACCGGUGGCGAAGGCGGCAUCCUGGACCGGCAUUGACGCUGAGGAGCGAAAGCCAGGGGAGCAAACGGG